ACACUGAAAAAGACAGGUGAGACAACAGGUGAGGAAACAGGAGACAACAGAGGAGACAACAAGUGAGGAAACAGGAGACAACAAAGGAGACAACAGGUGAGACAACAAGUGAGGAAACAGGAGACAACAGAGGAGACAAUAGGUGAGACAAUAAGUGAGGAAACAGGAGACAACAGAGGAGACAACAGAUGAGACAACAAGUGAGGAAACAGGAGACAACAGAGGAGACAACAAGUGAGGAAACAGGAGACAACAGAGGAGACAACAGGUGAGACAACAGGUGA
Labrus mixtus (cuckoo wrasse) is the source of this 284-nucleotide long non-coding RNA. RefSeq lists it as uncharacterized. The record is from RefSeq and is a predicted model, not a curated record. Lineage: Eukaryota; Metazoa; Chordata; Actinopteri; Labriformes; Labridae. The transcript has 2 exons.